This 402-nucleotide ribosomal RNA is filed under the name uncultured Hyphomicrobiaceae bacterium. Its description in RNAcentral is "bacterial SSU rRNA". It matches the Rfam family "Bacterial small subunit ribosomal RNA", at positions 353 to 772 of the family's 1533-position model. The record is from RNAcentral. Lineage: Bacteria; Pseudomonadati; Pseudomonadota; Alphaproteobacteria; Hyphomicrobiales; Hyphomicrobiaceae.
AGUGGGGAAUAUUGGACAAUGGGCGAAAGCCUGAUCCAGCCAUGCCGCGUGAGUGAUGAAGGCCUUAGGGUUGUAAAGCUCUUUCAGUGGGGAAGAUAAUGACGGUACCCACAGAAGAAGCCCCGGCUAACUUCGUGCCAGCAGCCGCGGUAAUACGAAGGGGGCUAGCGUUGUUCGGAUUUACUGGGCGUAAAGCGCACGUAGGCGGAUCGUUAAGUCAGGGGUGAAAUCCUGGGGCUCAACCCCGGAACUGCCUUUCAUACUGGCGAUCUCGAGUCCGGAAGAGGUGAGUGGAACUCCUAGUGUAGAGGUGGAAUUCGUAGAUAUUAGGAAGAACACCAGUGGCGAAGGCGGCUCACUGGUCCGGUACUGACGCUGAGGUGCGAAAGCGUGGGGAGCAAA